AAUCCUGAAGGCAACUCUGGAAGAUGAGAAGUAUUGUUCCCAAGUGAGGACACAGAGGGUCAGAGAGGUUCAGCAAAAAAAAGGUUAUUCACAAGAACUAGUUGGGGCAGGAUUCCUACUGAGGUCAGGACCUCACCGUGUGGGCUCAGGUGGGCCUCUCCCCUCAGGGCACAGCUUUGGGUUGAGACCUGGUUUCUGCAAAUGUGGCUCUUCAGGACGGGGGGGCGGGGGGAGUUAUCCACUUACACUUUAAGAGUCACUCUCCUGUUAGCAGGUCCUGGAAUGGACUGGAGGGUUAGCCCCCCAAAAUGGGAACCUGAGCCGAGGGCCCCAGGCGGACUGGCAGGGCAGAAAGGAGCAGAGGGAGAGUGACACAUGUGGCCCGGGUCCCAGUUUUGUCUUUACUGAUCCUGCUUAAAAGGAUGCUCACCCGCUCCAGCCUCCAGGUCCCAGCCCAGCCAGCUGGCUUCGCUCAGCAGCCCCCCUCCCUCCCCUCCCCUUCCCUCAGGUCAGGCCGUGGCUGCCCAGCAGAGGGCCCCCUAGUCCUGGCCUAACCGCACAGCCCUCCGAGCCAACAGGCAUUGCUCCCCCAAAGAGGCCAGGGAAGGGAGAGGGGGCCUCCCUGAAGUGCCCGCCCAGAGCAUGGGGUACUUUCUGGCCAGGCAUCUUCCAGGACCACGCAGCAGGGCCCCGAGGAGCUGGAAUAAGAUUCAGGCUUGGGGAGAAGCAAGGAGGAGGUGUCCAGAGUAGGUUAUGACUCUGGGGGCAGGAAAGCUGGGGUCUAGUCCCUGUGGUGCCAUCGACAGGCAAUGUGACCUCAGAGGUCCUUCCCUUCCCAGACUCAGGCAUCUCCACCCGAACUGUGGGGAGACUGGAUUAGAAUAUUCUCCAUUGAGUUCCCAUGGUGGCUCAGCAGGUUAUGAACCCGACUAGUAUCCAUGAGGAGGCAGGUUCCAUCCCUGGCCUCGCUCAGUGGGUUAAGGAUCUGGCAUUGCUGUGAGCUGUGGUGCAGGUCAAAGAUGCCACUCAGAUCUGGCGUUGCUGUGGCUGUGGUGUAGGCUGGCAGCUACAGCUCCGAUUCCACCCCUAGCCUGGAAAUUUCCGCAUGCCACAGGUGUGGUUCUAAAAAGCAAAAAAAAAAAAAAAAA
RNAcentral lists this long non-coding RNA (1148 nucleotides) under Sus scrofa (pig). RNAcentral describes it as "lncRNA (ENSSSCG00005006669.1)". Lineage: Eukaryota; Metazoa; Chordata; Mammalia; Artiodactyla; Suidae. The record is from RNAcentral.